GAUGAACGCUGGCGGCGUGCUUAACACAUGCAGGUCGAACGGAAAGGCCCAAGCUUGCUUGGGUACUCGAGUGGCGAACGGGUGAGUAACACGUGGGUGAUCUGCCCUGCACUUCGGGAUAAGCCUGGGAAACUGGGUCUAAUACCGGAUAGGACCACAUUUUGGAUGGUGUGGUGGAAAGUUUUUCGGUGUGGGAUGAGCUCGCGGCCUAUCAGCUUGUUGGUGGGGUAAUGGCCUACCAAGGCGUCGACGGGUAGCCGGCCUGAGAGGGUGUACGGCCACAUUGGGACUGAGAUACGGCCCAGACUCCUACGGGAGGCAGCAGUGGGGAAUAUUGCACAAUGGGCGCAAGCCUGAUGCAGCGACGCCGCGUGGGGGAUGACGGCCUUCGGGUUGUAAACUCCUUUCGCUAGGGACGAAGCGUUUUUGUGACGGUACCUGGAGAAGAAGCACCGGCUAACUACGUG
RNAcentral lists this ribosomal RNA (467 nucleotides) under uncultured bacterium. Its description in RNAcentral is "partial 16S ribosomal RNA". It matches the Rfam family "Bacterial small subunit ribosomal RNA", at positions 28 to 507 of the family's 1533-position model. The record is from RNAcentral.